Molecule: ribosomal RNA, 570 nt
Filed under: Alternaria tenuissima
Lineage: Eukaryota; Fungi; Ascomycota; Dothideomycetes; Pleosporales; Pleosporaceae
Description: eukaryotic LSU rRNA
Rfam family: 5.8S ribosomal RNA (bases 196-349)
Source: RNAcentral
UCGGUAGGUGAACCUGCGGAGGGAUCAUUACACAAAUAUGAAGGCGGGCUGGAACCUCUCGGGGUUACAGCCUUGCUGAAUUAUUCACCCUUGUCUUUUGCGUACUUCUUGUUUCCUUGGUGGGUUCGCCCACCACUAGGACAAACAUAAACCUUUUGUAAUUGCAAUCAGCGUCAGUAACAAAUUAAUAAUUACAACUUUCAACAACGGAUCUCUUGGUUCUGGCAUCGAUGAAGAACGCAGCGAAAUGCGAUAAGUAGUGUGAAUUGCAGAAUUCAGUGAAUCAUCGAAUCUUUGAACGCACAUUGCGCCCUUUGGUAUUCCAAAGGGCAUGCCUGUUCGAGCGUCAUUUGUACCCUCAAGCUUUGCUUGGUGUUGGGCGUCUUGUCUCUAGCUUUGCUGGAGACUCGCCUUAAAGUAAUUGGCAGCCGGCCUACUGGUUUCGGAGCGCAGCACAAGUCGCACUCUCUAUCAGCAAAGGUCUAGCAUCCAUUAAGCCUUUUUUUCAACUUUUGACCUCGGAUCAGGUAGGGAUACCCGCUGAACUUAAGCAUAUCAAUAAGCGGAGGA